RNAcentral lists this transfer RNA (83 nucleotides) under Schistocephalus solidus. It matches the Rfam family "tRNA". From Rfam's summary of the family: Transfer RNA (tRNA) molecules are approximately 80 nucleotides in length. Their secondary structure includes four short double-helical elements and three loops (D, anti-codon, and T loops). Further hydrogen bonds mediate the characteristic L-shaped molecular structure. tRNAs have two regions of fundamental functional importance: the anti-codon, which is responsible for specific mRNA codon recognition, and the 3' end, to which the tRNAs corresponding amino acid is attached (by aminoacyl-tRNA synthetases). tRNAs cope with the degeneracy of the genetic code in two manners: having more than one tRNA (with a specific anti-codon) for a particular amino acid; and 'wobble' base-pairing, i.e. permitting non-standard base-pairing at the 3rd anti-codon position. Lineage: Eukaryota; Metazoa; Platyhelminthes; Cestoda; Diphyllobothriidea; Diphyllobothriidae. The record is from Rfam by way of RNAcentral.
GGCCUCGUAGCUCAGUUGGUUAGAGCUUUGGUUGUACUAACGUCCUCCCCUUGUUGGCGUGGGUUCGAAUUCCACCGAGGCCG